GGAUGAACGCUGGCGGCGUGCCUAAUACAUGCAAGUCGAACGAGUUCUGAUUAUUGAAAGGUGCUUGCAUCUUGAUUUAAUUUUGAACGAGUGGCGGACGGGUGAGUAACACGUGGGUAACCUGCCCUUAAGUGGGGGAUAACAUUUGGAAACAGAUGCUAAUACCGCAUAAAUCCAAGAACCGCAUGGUUCUUGGCUGAAAGAUGGCGUAAGCUAUCGCUUUUGGAUGGACCCGCGGCGUAUUAGCUAGUUGGUGAGGUAACGGCUCACCAAGGCAAUGAUACGUAGCCGAACUGAGAGGUUGAUCGGCCACAUUGGGACUGAGACACGGCCCAAACUCCUACGGGAGGCAGCAGUAGGGAAUCUUCCACAAUGGACGCAAGUCUGAUGGAGCAACGCCGCGUGAGUGAAGAAGGCUUUCGGGUCGUAAAACUCUGUUGUUGGAGAAGAAUGGUCGGCAGAGUAACUGUUGUCGGCGUGACGGUAUCCAACCAGAAAGCCACGGCUAACUACGUGCCAGCAGCCGCGGUAAUACGUAGGUGGCAAGCGUUAUCCGGAUUUAUUGGGCGUAAAGCGAGCGCAGGCGGUUUUUUAAGUCUGAUGUGAAAGCCCUCGGCUUAACCGAGGAAGUGCAUCGGAAACUGGGAAACUUGAGUGCAGAAGAGGACAGUGGAACUCCAUGUGUAGCGGUGAAAUGCGUAGAUAUAUGGAAGAACACCAGUGGCGAAGGCGGCUGUCUGGUCUGUAACUGACGCUGAGGCUCGAAAGCAUGGGUAGCGAACAGGAUUAGAUACCCUGGUAGUCCAUGCCGUAAACGAUGAAUGCUAGGUGUUGGAGGGUUUCCGCCCUUCAGUGCCGCAGCUAACGCAUUAAGCAUUCCGCCUGGGGAGUACGACCGCAAGGUUGAAACUCAAAGGAAUUGACGGGGGCCCGCACAAGCGGUGGAGCAUGUGGUUUAAUUCGAAGCAACGCGAAGAACCUUACCAGGUCUUGACAUCUUUUGAUCACCUGAGAGAUCAGGUUUCCCCUUCGGGGGCAAAAUGACAGGUGGUGCAUGGUUGUCGUCAGCUCGUGUCGUGAGAUGUUGGGUUAAGUCCCGCAACGAGCGCAACCCUUAUGACUAGUUGCCAGCAUUUAGUUGGGCACUCUAGUAAGACUGCCGGUGACAAACCGGAGGAAGGUGGGGAUGACGUCAAAUCAUCAUGCCCCUUAUGACCUGGGCUACACACGUGCUACAAUGGAUGGUACAACGAGUUGCGAGACCGCGAGGUCAAGCUAAUCUCUUAAAGCCAUUCUCAGUUCGGACUGUAGGCUGCAACUCGCCUACACGAAGUCGGAAUCGCUAGUAAUCGCGGAUCAGCACGCCGCGGUGAAUACGUUCCCGGGCCUUGUACACACCGCCCGUCACACCAUGAGAGUUUGUAACACCCGAAGCCGGUGGCGUAACCCUUUUAGGGAGCGAGCCGUCUAAGGUGGGACAAAUGAUUAGGGUGAAGUCGUACA
This 1503-nucleotide ribosomal RNA is filed under the name Lacticaseibacillus rhamnosus. RNAcentral describes it as "bacterial SSU rRNA". It matches the Rfam family "Bacterial small subunit ribosomal RNA". Lineage: Bacteria; Bacillati; Bacillota; Bacilli; Lactobacillales; Lactobacillaceae. The record is from RNAcentral.